Molecule: unclassified non-coding RNA, 178 nt
Filed under: uncultured fungus
Lineage: Eukaryota; Fungi
Description: sequence contains ITS1
Source: RNAcentral
UAUAGAUUUUAUAGGCACAACAUUCUAUUAACAUACAUUGGGGUAAAUGAUAAAGCAACAUAGACCUGAAAGGUCUACAAAAGGUGCACAGGUGGAGAUAUAAAGAUGACAAGGUGUGCCAGCAGCAACCCAUCAGUUUAUUUCAAUAAUGAUCCUUCCGCAGGUUCACCUACGGAAA